GGAGAGGUGGCAGAGCGGUUGAAUGCACCGGUCUUGAAAACCGGCAUCCCCUUACGGGGAUCGCGAGUUCGAAUCUCGCCCUCUCCG
RNAcentral lists this transfer RNA (87 nucleotides) under Pseudomonadota bacterium. Its description in RNAcentral is "tRNA-Ser". It matches the Rfam family "tRNA". Rfam says of the family: Transfer RNA (tRNA) molecules are approximately 80 nucleotides in length. Their secondary structure includes four short double-helical elements and three loops (D, anti-codon, and T loops). The record is from RNAcentral. Lineage: Bacteria; Pseudomonadati; Pseudomonadota.